CACAGGAUUGCCUCAGUAACGGCGAGUGAAGCGGCAAAAGCUCAGAUUUGAAAUCUGGCGUCAUUUUGGCGUCCGAGUUGUAAUCUGUAGAGGAGUAUUCGAGUGUGGCGCUGGCUUAAGUUCCUUGGAACAGGACGUCAUAGAGGGUGAGAACCCCGUUAACGGCCUUUGUCUUAUGCUCAUGUGAAUCUUCUUCAACGAGUCGAGUUGUUUGGGAAUGCAGCUCUAAAUGGGUGGUAAAUUCCAUCUAAAGCUAAAUACUGGCAAGAGACCGAUAGCGCACAAGUAGAGUGAUCGAAAGAUGAAAAGAACUCUGAACAGAGAGUUAAAUAGUACGUGAAAUUGUUGAAAGGGAAGCACUUGCUACCAGACACGCCUGUAGUUGAUCAACCUCCAUUCUUGGUGGUGCACUCAGCUAUAGGUGGGUCAGCAUCAGUUAUGGCGGCGGGAUAAAGACUUGGGGAAUGUGGCUUCUUUCGGGAAGUGUUAUAGCCCUGGGUGUAAUACCGCCUGCUAUGACUGAGGCCCGCUC
RNAcentral lists this ribosomal RNA (532 nucleotides) under Peziza campestris. RNAcentral's name for it is "eukaryotic LSU rRNA". It matches the Rfam family "Eukaryotic large subunit ribosomal RNA", at positions 68 to 602 of the family's 3401-position model. The record is from RNAcentral. Lineage: Eukaryota; Fungi; Ascomycota; Pezizomycetes; Pezizales; Pezizaceae.